Molecule: ribosomal RNA, 829 nt
Filed under: uncultured bacterium
Lineage: Bacteria
Description: bacterial SSU rRNA
Rfam family: Bacterial small subunit ribosomal RNA
Source: RNAcentral
CUGGCGGCGUGCCUAAUACAUGCCAGUCGAACGCACAAUAAGGAGCUUGCUCCUUAGAGUGAGUGGCGAACGGGUGAGUAAUACAUAAAUAAUCUGCCUUAAUGACUGGGAUAACUUUGGGAAACUAAAGCUAAUACCGGAUGGGAUAUUCAAUGGUAGCAUAGAAUAUGAAAAGGGAGGGCUAGUACCUUCGCAUUAAGAUGAGUUUAUGGUGCAUUAGCUAGUUGGUGGGGUAAGGGCCUACCAAGGCGAUGAUGCAUAGCCGACCUGAGAGGGUGACCGGCCACACUGGGACUGAGACACGGCCCAGACUCCUACGGGAGGCAGCAGUAGGGAAUUUUCGGCAAUGGGGGCAACCCUGACCGAGCGACGCCGCGUGAGUGAAGAAGGCCUUCGGGUUGUAAAGCUCUGUUAUCAGGGAAGAAUGAUCUUACUAGGAAAUGAGUAGGAUGUGACGGUACCUGAUCAGAAAGUCACGGCUAACUACGUGCCAGCAGCCGCGGUAAUACGUAGGUGACGAGCGUUAUCCGGAAUGAUUGGGCGUAAAGGGUGCGUAGGCGGCUAUUUAAGUUUAAGGUUAAAGUUCAGAGCUCAACUCUGUGAUGCCUUAGAAACUGGGUAGCUAGAGUGCAGGAGAGGUUAGUGGAAUUCCAUGUGUAGCGGUAAAAUGCGUAGAGAUAUGGAGGAACACCAGUGGCGAAGGCGGCUAACUGGCCUGUAACUGACGCUGAGGCACGAAAGCGUGGGGAGCAAAUAGGAUUAGAUACCCUAGUAGUCCACGCCGUAAACGAUGAAUACUAAGUGUUGGAGUAACAUUCAGUGCUGCAGU